UAAAGAGGGUGCAAGCGUUAAUCGGAAUUACUGGGCGUAAAGCGUGCGUAGGCGGUUUCGUAAGUCGGGUGUGAAAGCCCCGGGCUCAACCUGGGAAUUGCAUUCGAGACUGCGGAGCUAGAGUGCGGAAGAGGGAAGUGGAAUUUCCGGUGUAGCGGUGAAAUGCGUAGAUAUCGGAAGGAACACCAGUGGCGAAAGCGACUUCCUGGUCCAGCACUGACGCUCAGGCACGAAAGCGUGGGGAGCAAACAGG
Molecule: ribosomal RNA, 253 nt
Filed under: uncultured bacterium
Lineage: Bacteria
Description: partial 16S ribosomal RNA
Rfam family: Bacterial small subunit ribosomal RNA
Source: RNAcentral